This 254-nucleotide ribosomal RNA is filed under the name uncultured bacterium. Its description in RNAcentral is "partial 16S ribosomal RNA". It matches the Rfam family "Bacterial small subunit ribosomal RNA", at positions 524 to 777 of the family's 1533-position model. The record is from RNAcentral.
UACGUAGGGUGCAAGCGUUGCCCGGAUUUAUUGGGCGUAAAGGGCGCGCAGGCGGCUACGCACGUCCGUUGUGAAAUCGCUCGGCUCAACUGGGCGGGGUCGGCGGAUACGGCGUAGCUGGAGCAAGCUAGGGGGCAAUGGAAUUCCCGGUGUAGUGGUGGAAUGCGUAGAUAUCGGGAGGAACACCAGUGGCGAAGGCGGUUGCCUGGAGCUUUGCUGACGCUGAUGCGCGAAAGCGUGGGGAGCGAGUCCGG